AGACCUACGGGAGGCAGCAGUAGGGAAUUUUCGUCAAUGGGCGCAAGCCUGAACGAGCAAUGCCGCGUGAACGAGGAAGGUCUUCGGAUCGUAAAGUUCUGUUGAAGGGGAAAAAGAGCGGAGAGAGGAAAUGGUCUCCGAUUGAUAUUACCCUUCGAGGAAGUCACGGCUAACUACGUGCCAGCAGCCGCGGUAAUACGUAGGUGGCGAGCGUUAUCCGGAUUUAUUGGGCGUAAAGUGAGUGCAGGCG
This 250-nucleotide ribosomal RNA is filed under the name uncultured bacterium. RNAcentral's name for it is "partial 16S ribosomal RNA". It matches the Rfam family "Bacterial small subunit ribosomal RNA", at positions 335 to 577 of the family's 1533-position model. The record is from RNAcentral.